CUACGGGGCGCAGCAGUGAGGAAUAUUGCACAAUGGGGGGAACCCUGAUGCAGCAACGCCGCGUGGAGGAUGACGCAUUUCGGUGUGUAAACUCCUUUUAUAUGUCAAGAAAAUGACGGUAGCAUAUGAAUAAGCACCGGCUAACUCCGUGCCAGCAGCCGCGGUAAUACGGAGGGUGCAAGCGUUACUCGGAAUCACUGGCGUAAAGGACGCGUAGGCGGGUUAGAAAGUCAGGUGUGAAAUCCUACAGCUUAACUGUAGAACUGCACUUGAAACUUCUAAUCUAGAGUAUGGGAGGGGGAGAUGGAAUUAGUGGUGUAGGGGUAAAAUCCGUAGAUAUCACUAGGAAUACCUAAAGCGAAGGCGAUCUCCUGGAACAUUACUGACGCUAAGGCGUGAAAGCGUGGGGAGCAAACAGGAUUAGAUACCCUUGUAGUC
RNAcentral lists this ribosomal RNA (438 nucleotides) under uncultured bacterium. RNAcentral's name for it is "partial 16S ribosomal RNA". It matches the Rfam family "Bacterial small subunit ribosomal RNA", at positions 339 to 795 of the family's 1533-position model. The record is from RNAcentral.